Ictidomys tridecemlineatus (thirteen-lined ground squirrel) is the source of this 1521-nucleotide non-coding RNA. The record is from RefSeq and is a predicted model, not a curated record. Lineage: Eukaryota; Metazoa; Chordata; Mammalia; Rodentia; Sciuridae.
UGGCAGAGUGCAAUACAUUCAGAGAGCUUUACAAAACAAAGCUUUCAGCUCUGAGUCAGCAACAAACUCAUCUUUGUUCAUGUGGUUCUAUUAAGGAAAGAAGGCCAAUUUUAUGCAGGUUUCUAUGGCCGCCUUGACAAAGGCAUCUCUCUGUGUGCAAGCCCUCUGGCAGGGACAGCCGCCUCUGAGAUCAUCGUUUUUAGCAAUCACCAGCUGCAAUGAAGAUCAGAGAAAGAAAAUCAUAAACUGGUUUAUAUAGUGAUUUUCCUGAGGAUGCUGAAACACGGAUUCAUUCUCUGAUCACACUUUGAGGAAAUGCUGAGCAAGGUCAAUGGGGAUUAACAACGGAAGGCACCAGAAGCUCCAGUACUCUGGAUAGUGAUGAAGUUUCCAAGAGUAAUUUCAGGUAUUAAUGAACCUCCUGGCAAACCAGCCUGAUGAGUAACUACAUGAAUAAUAACAGGAGUAACGCUAAGCCCAUCUCCGCCCACAGGGCUUAUGGUCUACAUAAACAUCACUUUAUUAUUUGGCUGUCUUCAUUAACAUGACUUUACUAUUUUUAUCAACAUGAAUUUACUAAUCUAGGAAACUCUUUUCUAAAAAAAGUUAAAGAUGCAAAUAACUUUAUUAUUGGAGAGCCAUUAUUUGAAAAAGUUUAGUUUUGAGCCCCCAAAAUUGUUGACCCUUGUGACUUGUGCCCAUCUUUCAGUUGUACAAGAAUUUCUAAAUUAGGAUCUCUAGUAACUCACUUCAUACUUAAAACUGAACAAAAGCAUACUUAAAAAACAUAAAGUCCUCAUUACAUCUGGUAAGAAUGUGUGAAAUCUGUAAAGCCAAAUAUAAUAUAAAGGCCACAUUAGGAAUAUCCUUUUCUUGGGAUUUAUUUAUAAGAUAUGCUACAAAUUUUUCUCUUUGUGUAUUAUAUUUAAAAUUAGACAAUUUGCAAAAGUUUGGGGGAGGGAAGAGGCUGGUGACUUCUGAGUUCAAUUAUAAUAUAUUUUUAAUUUUCAUCUGAACAUGUUGCAUUUAUUUACCUGUAUUCCUUAAAGGCAUGUUUUGAUAACUAUAGUGAUUUUUUCUGUUUUUUUUAUUCUUAAGUCACUAAUUUAUUUAACAACUAUCAUGUACACUGAUAAUGUUCUACAAUGUGAACACAAAUCAAGUAAAAUUUGGUUUCUACCUUCAAUUGGUUUAUACUCCAUGAAGAAAAACAGCUCAGCAAUGAAGAGUUUUUGCAGCAUGGAGAGUGCUCUGAUAGAUGCUGUAGUAAACAGAAUAAAUCUCUAUCCAGUUUGAGAGGUGACCAGAUCUUCCCAGAGAAGAUGAAAUAAGAAAUGAGUUCUGAAAGAUUAGUUGCAAUUGUAUAGGAAUCAUAGAAUUUAGCUAAAUAAGAUUCUCAAGCCUUAAAGUGCAUAUGAAGCAUCUAGGAAUUUUGUUAAAAUGCAAUUGCAUCCAUUAUUUAUGGAGUGCUGAAAAUUCCAAUUUCUAACACACCCUCAGGUGGUGUCAAUAGUGCUAGUC